CAUCCUCACAUAUCCCACCAAAAGAGCGUUUGGAGUGAACUAGAUAACAUGGAGAAGGUGCAACAAUGCCUCUUGUCUCUCCAGAAGUAGAAGAAAUGAGCUGGGGAUUUCUCCGUGAUAUUCUACGUCAGGUGAAUAAAUAUUCAACUGGAAUCGGCAGAAUCUCCCUGGCUAUNNNNNNNNNNNNNNNNNNNNNNNNNNNNNNNNNNNNNNNNNNNNNNNNNNNNNNNNNNNNNNNNNNNNNNNNNNNNNNNNNNNNNNNNNNNNNNNNNNNNUUCUUGAAGAGACCUAUUUUCUACUGGAAGAAUUUCAUGCAUAAAAUCCAUGUUCUAUAUGUAAGUGCAAUACUCAGAAGAACUGUGACUGUAUUAUUGGUUUGUGUUGAAGUUGCUAUUUUCUUGAACUCUGCUUAUACAAGAGUAAAUUUGAGUUUUGCAUUCUUCUAUUUUGAGUUGCUGGUUUUUGAACAAACAAUGGGGCUAAUCUUCUGGACCUGCACGCACUGAACCAACUGCAACAGUUUUCACCAAAUCUGUUCUCAACGGGGACUGAUCCAGCUAUCGUUAUAUAGUCAGCAAUGUUUGUGGGGGUGCUUUUGGGAAUGUUUGGAAAUGGCAACUGGCAUAGAAGGCUGCUGGCAUUCCCUAAAUGUAUAUUUUAAUUCAUCUGCACUGGCCUCCACAUUGGUUCUGGGCCCAAAUUUCAUUUCUCCUUACUAUCUUUCAAAGGGUAUAUGGUUUGGGUCCAAAGCAUUUAAAGGAAUGUCUCCUUGCAUGUGAUUCUAUUUACUAAGAUCUUCAGAGAAGGCUAUCUUAUCUCCAAGAGCUGUCUGAGGUUUGGUUGUCCUUUCUCAAGUCUUGGAUUUCUGUUACACUCACAGGUCUUGUUAAAACCAUCUGAUUUCAAUGUGGUUUUAAAAGUUUGAUUAGUCCCUGCCCUCUUCAUUUAGAUUGCAAAGGUUAUCUUCUGUUAUAAUUUUGUAAUUUCUAACAAUUGCUGGUUUGUCAUUUUUCAUUUUCUAGCAUUUCAUUGGUAUUUUUAAUUAUUUUGAUUUUGUUGAGCUGCAGUGAAAAGAGAAGCAGCAAAAUUAAAGUAAGAGAAAUGUCUCCCACUGGUUUCAAAUUGAUAGUCAGAACUAUGAUGGCUUGUUGCUACAUCCUGCCAAAGGUAAAGCCAACAAGUCAGAUAGUAUAUACUGUACCUCAGACUUCAGCUCAAUAUCGCCUCUCUGAGGCCAUUAGCUCCAGUUCAGUAAGAAACUCAUUUAACUUGAGAAUUUUGCCUCUUCCACACCCCCUUCCCCUUCUUACAUUUAUAUUUUGUCUGGCUCAUAUAUAGUAUUAAACCAGUUUAGCAUUGCUCUCAAAAUCUCAGGUUCAUGUCUUCCCUUGAGUGGAGGAGAUGGUAUGGAGAAGACUGGAAGUUUUCUUUUCCAUUUUCAGUUGAUAGCAGUUGGUUAUUAUGCAGACACUAUGAGUUGGCAUUCAUUAUACGGUAAUUCAAUAAAAACAGCCAGUUUUGAACUCUGCACAAAUGUCAUGGCAUGUUUCACUAAACAGCUGGAAAGCAACUUUGUGCUUUCCAGCUGUUUGGGACAAGAAGUCCUAUCAGACCUACUCCUCAUAGGCAAUGACCAGGAAUUCUAAGAGUUGCAGUCCAAUAUCUGGAUGGCACCAGAUUGUCCAUUCCUGAAUUAAACCAUUAACAUUAACUUCAUUAUAAAUUGAUAUCUAGUCUGCAGAGGAAGACAAUGUAUCAAUUACACAAACAAUAACUUGCUCAUGCAACCACUUAGAUACAGUAUCCUGGUUUUGGAUGCUCAGGUACCUGAACUGAAAGAAUGUUUGUUGCAGCCAUAUUCAAUACACACUGCAAACUGACAUACUUCAGACAUGUUAUCCAAUAUGGCUUAGCAUAGUAAUGCAAUUCUGCUUGCAGACCUCUGCUAGCUCACGCCAUAUAUACCACCUCUUGACUUACCAUACAGCCCUUGAAGCCCCUUCCACAUGUCCAUUCCAUGAUUUAUUGGGACAAUUCAGGGUUAGAGAAAUGUCUGGCUAAGCCCCGUAACCAGAUCCAAAAUGACUACAUUAGUGUAGAGAGCUUCCAAGGUCUUCUGGAUAUUUCAGCAUUCCUGGAAUCAUUUUGUCUAGCUAAGGGAACAUAAUAGGACACUUUUCUGAUCUUGUCUGCUCCCCACAAGAUACUGUAUUAGCCAGGAACUAAUUUUCUAGGAUGAUUGGGUAGAAAUGUGUUGGCCAGGCCCUGAUAGAAAACAAUGUUUCACCUUUCAAAAAUUUAUAAUGACCCUAAUCCAGUCUUUUUCUAACACCAACAGUACAAUGACAUUUGUGGAUCACUAUUUCACCCCAGGAAGUAGCAAGACCUGUGAUGUUAAAAGCAGUCAGUAAGAAAACUGGAUUGGAGACUGAAGGUGCAGUAACUGCUACGGCUAUUACAGAAAAAUUAUUAUGGAACAAUUCUUCUUAUGCAUCUUUCUGAGUUCCAUGCAGCAUGCCCUUAUGGUUGUCCCUCCAUAUCCACAGAUACUGUUAUCUACAGAUUCAACUUUUAAAACCCCUCAAAUCUAAAGCUUGAUUUUGCCAUAUUAUAUAAAUAAUGCAAUUUUUUUGCAAAUUGUAUAUAUUUUGCAUAAAUAUUGAUAUCCACAGGGUGUCCAAGGACCAAUACCCAGUGGAGACCAAGUCUCAAUUCUGGAAAACAGAUAUAUGAAACAAGAGAAGGAUCAUAAGAGGAAGAUAUACUUUGAUAUUCAUUGAAUUUAGAUGGGGAGAUCAUAUGGUUUGCUAGUAGAAUAUGUAUGUCUAUAGAUUAAAAUUUUAUUUCAAAUAGCAUCCUUGAUACUCUAAAGAGAAGGGAAUGUUAGAAACCUGCAUCACACACAGACAAAGCAAUUCUCCAAUGAACAGAUGAAUCUUACUUUCAAAGCUGAGGGUCCUUCCAGACAGGCCCAAAUCCUGAGAGAAACCAACAUUUAAAAUGCAGGUCACUCUUGGGUUUUAGGAGUAGCUAUAUCCUCCUGGGUCUACUAGCCCAUCAGAAGCUUACUCCUAAAGACUUGCAGAUGGAGGCAGGUCUCUCCAGUAAAUUUGCUGGGAAAAUGGGGAUCUGGGAGGGGAGGGUGGCAGUGCCAUCCUGGUUCUUCAGGCUCUUGGAGCCAAAAUAACUGUGAUGGCUGUGGAGAUUCAGGAUGGCAGAAGGUGAUCCCAAGAGGCAAUUCCCACAGGCCCCAUACCUGGGAAGGUGUGGACCUUCCAGGGAAGUCCGCACC
Anolis carolinensis (green anole) is the source of this 3292-nucleotide long non-coding RNA. The record is from Ensembl. NCBI's taxonomy places the organism in Eukaryota, Metazoa, Chordata, Lepidosauria, Squamata, Anolidae.